UAGGAGAUUUUUAAAGUCAAGUUAAAGUUAGUUGGUUUUCUGCCAGAGUAACGGAGAGACUUUGACAGCCCAGGUUAUCACAGUGCCUGCUGUUGCCACUCAGCUCUCCUAUAUGU
Small nucleolar RNA from Rattus norvegicus (Norway rat), 116 nucleotides. Ensembl annotates it as small nucleolar RNA SNORA44. The record is from Ensembl. Lineage: Eukaryota; Metazoa; Chordata; Mammalia; Rodentia; Muridae.